Oncorhynchus tshawytscha (Chinook salmon) is the source of this 678-nucleotide long non-coding RNA. NCBI's taxonomy places the organism in Eukaryota, Metazoa, Chordata, Actinopteri, Salmoniformes, Salmonidae. The record is from Ensembl.
UGGUGAUGAUGGUGGUGAUGAUGGUGGUGGUGGUGAUGGUGGUGGCAGUGAUGAUGGUGGUGGUGGUGAUGGUGGUGGUGGUGAUGGUUGUGAUAGUGGUGGUGAUGGUGGUGGUGGUGAUGGUGUUGAUGUUGGUGGUGGUGGUGAUGGUGUUGAUGAUGGUGGUGGUGAUUGUGGUGAUGGUCGUUAGGAUGAUGAUGAUGAUGGUGAUGGUGGUGAUGAUGGUGAUGGUGGUGAUGAUGGUGAUGGUGGUGGCGGUGAUGAUGGUGGUGGUGGUGAUGGUGGUGGUGGUGAUGGUGGUGGUGGUGAUGGUGAUGGUGGCGGUGGUGAUGGUGUUGAUGGUGAUGGUGGCGGUGGUGAUGGUGUUGAUGGUGAUGGUUGUGAUGGUGAUGGUGAUAGUGGUAAUGGUGAUGGUGUUGAUGGUGAUGGUUGUGAUGGUGAUAGUGGUGAUGGUGAUGGUGGUGAUGGUGAUGGCAGUGAUGAUGGUGGUGAUGGUGGUGGUGGUGAUGGUGAUGGUGGUGAUGGUGGUGAUGGUGAUGGCAGUGAUGAUGGUGGUGAUGGUGAUGAUGGUGAUGGCAGUGAUGAUGGUGGUGAUGGUGGUGAUAGUGGUGGUGAUGGUGGUGGUGGUGAUGGUGAUGAUGAUGGUGGUGGUGAUUGUGGUGGUGGUGAUGGUGGUGG